Molecule: long non-coding RNA, 13496 nt
Filed under: Coffea arabica (coffee)
Lineage: Eukaryota; Viridiplantae; Streptophyta; Magnoliopsida; Gentianales; Rubiaceae
Description: long non-coding RNA (CARA_LNC002062)
Source: RNAcentral
UUUUUUUUUUUUUUUUUACGUCCGUUGAGAUUGAAAUGAAAUUUAUUAUAAGAUUAAAAAGACGCGUUUAUUUAGACUGUUUGAAAAGUCAUUAUUAUUUUUCUAAAAAUUUUUACAUUGUUCUUAAAUAUAUUUUUUAAUCAUCUUUUUAUUGAAUAAUAUAUAUCAAAUCGCCAUUACAUUACAGUAUGUUUUUCUAUAUUAAAGCUUCAAAAAAUAGCAAUUCAAAUCGGACUUCUGUUUUGGGAGGGAGGGAGGGAAGGAGAGAAAAGAGAGAGAGAAAAAAAAAGAAGAAGAAGAAGUUGUUGGUUAAAAAUGGAAAUAGCCGCAAGGAAAAGAGAACUUGGAUGUGUGGGAGGAGUGUAAAAGAAGGAUUCACACGUGUGGUGCAAAGCCCUGACAAGUGUCCUUCAUGCUGACCUGAUUACCGCGUCACCUUCUCAACGUUAGCUUCCUCCUUCCCCGACAAGCCCACACCGUCCACAGUCAAAAAUAAAUAUAUGAAUAAAUAAAUAACCCACAGCCUCAUUCACCUUUUUUACUAUUUAACUCCCACAAAUUUAUAUACAGUACAGUUUUAAAAAAGAAGAGAAAUUAAAAUUGGGCUUAAAUCUGGAUGUCUUUCUUCAGUUCAGUAGUAGAAUUAACUGGUGCAGCGAGGAAGAAAAAAUAAAAUAAAAAAUACAUAUAUAUAGCUCUUGAAUUUUUUAGGUUUAUUUUUUUUAAAGCUGAUAUGGCCUGGAAAUAGAUUAUAUGGAUGGUUGUUUCUUGCUUCUAGCAUCUUGAUGAUGCCUUUGACCUAAUUCAAACUAGUAUGAAUCGAUCACGAACUUCCAUGUAACGUAUGCCGCCCCAACAUCGACCACUUGCGUAAUCAGUGACCAUUUUCGCUGUUUACAUCAAUUCAAGAAAGGGUGCAAAAAUUAAAAUAAAAAAAAAUUUUUUUCCGGUCAGCGUUCUUGAACAAUUUAUUUAUAAAUUUCUUCUGCACAACAUCCAUUUCGAUUACUGAAAACUGGUCUCAUUCUGAACUUUUUUUUUUUUUUGAUGUUGAAUUAACUAAUUUCAAUCACGUUCCUACUUUUUGUAAUUGAUUUUUCAUGUGCAUUAUAAUCUGAACGAAAUGAUAAUCAACUUCAACAAUUGAGUGCGUGCUUCCGCCAUUUUCUUGUCCAAUUCAUUUGAUAUUCCUGCAUGUAGGCAACGCCUGAUUAAUUAACAUUAUUUAAAACAUCCACGCUUCUCACUUGCGCUCUUUAUUUAUUAUUAACAUUUGCUCAAAUGAAUAUGCCUGCGCUGGGUGAACUUUUGUUGUGUUUUUUUUUUUUUUUUUACAGAACGAUUUUGUGGUUAUGCCAAUUGGUUGGUAAUAUUUACGAGAAUAGGCGCAAUGGAUGAAAACAUAUAGAUUUAUGCGUUCAAUUAUCACUAAUUGUUCCCAUCCUUUUUUUUUUUUUUUUUGGGGUGGCGACAUAAUUAAUCAGUUAAUUUAUUAAUUGUAUAGCCACGAUGCUCGGCUGUGGUCGCCAUAUAGCCACCACCACCACCAAGAAUUUGACGCAGGACAGCGUUACGCGAACUGUUAGCCUCGUCUCAGCUAACACGCGUUAUUUCUAAAUAUUUUCCUUUUUAGUGACUCCAUUUGUUCGUCGCGUGUAUGUUUAGUUAAUGUCGUCAGGCCAAGUUUCAUAUUUUCUUUUUUAUCAUAUAAAUAUAUAUACAUACUACUAUACUAGUAUAUAUAUAGGAGUACAUAUUAGUAUAAUGAAUCUAGGAGUCUAGACGGCCCACAUGCAACUUUUAACGCGCUUUUAGUAUUGACCUAUAAUUAAUUCUUGCAACAUACGCUUCCCCGGUUCAUUGUAAAUCGCGUUUUUGGGGCAGAUUCCCGGCUGCCACCUUUAUUUAUGCGGAUAAAAUUUAGGUAUAAAGAAAGAUUUUGAGCAACCAAAUAUAUGGUGUGAUUAUUGUGCAUUUCUUUCUUCCUCGCCCCCACAACACUUCCCUCUCUUCCAGGAGGGGAAGAGCAAAACCAAAAAAAAAAUAGAAAAUUUCAAGGCAGCUACUUGAUGUCCUGUGUCACUGUGUGGAUCCAUAGACCGUAAACGAGGAGGUAAGUUAAUAAUAUUGCAACAAAAUAGGUAAUAAAUAAAUGCAUAUUAUUGUCCGAUGCCUCAUCUCGGUCAACGUGACGUCACUGACUAUUCAUGCACAUGACAUGAGAUACAUCACACGCCUUCUUAAAAACUUCUCUAUAUAUUUUUUUUCUUUUGUAUACAGAUGAGAAAUUCAUAACGUAAAGAAAUUCAUUCGUUUUGAUGUUAUAUCGUACUUUCAAAACCACAAUAUCGUACUUUUAUUCCUGUAUUGGUUGACGAUGCAUGUUUUGUCAGCUGCUCGAUCUUCAGCCAUAAUAAAUACCACAUUUCAAUGGCCCUGAUUGGAUUGGAUGGCUAUUUUUUUAAAAAAAAAAAACUUUUUCUUGUAAGAAAAGUAUAUUAUAAUAAAUUUAAUGUACAUGAAAUAAAAAAAUAUAUUUAUAAAAAACGUAAAAAAUUUUUGAUAUACGAUAGCAAUCCAAACACCACCUUAGUUUAUGAUCAAGACAUCAUCAUUAUGAUGAUCGAGCUGUAAUUGGAAGAUUCUUAAACUUUCGAGGUUCAUCACGGCGCAAGCCAAGCCCGCCUUGCCAUCUUCACCUUGCCUCAACAUAAUUGAACGGACAUGAAGUUGGGUGUCUGGAUGCAUGUAUUGUUCGCACCUACUAUGUAGUUAAUGUUAGGAAUGGGUGCAAGUAGACAAUUUUAACUUCAUUGAAAAAUGUUUUAUCGGACAAUUUGACCACAGUUUGCUUCCAACUUACGUUUCAGACCAAAAAUAAAAAUUGCUGCCAAAAAGCAAUAAAAUGUCUAUAUGUCUAUUUUGUCACGACAUCCCAGUUCCCCAACAGCGCGUGAGAAAAAAAAAAAAAAAAUCAGCCAUUCUAGAGACUUGCACCAGCCAGCCAAUUACUAUAUAGUAUAUACUACUAAUCCAUUAUAUAUCCAAGGCAUUUUCAUUUUUCCCUGCCAUGCUAACCAAAAGGAUCUGCAAACAUGUGAUUAGCAGUAACCAUUAAAUUACUGGUUGCAUGUCUACUUUUCGCAUAACAGUCGUCGUCGAGAAACUUCAAAGCGAUUUUGUUUCAACCCGAAGAGUGUAGGGGUAAAUUUUCAAAGCAAUUGGCCGGUAGGAGUCGGUCAGGAUAAAGAAACAUUCAUAUAUUCAUUGUUCAUAGUACGUUGUCAUAUUACUGAUAUAUUACUCCAGUAUGGAAGCGUUCUUUCCAGUCAGGAGAACUAAAGCGAACUAAGCUUGGAUGCAACAACACGAAACCAUGGGCUACAUCGAACACCGACUUAAAUUGACCGGGGUUCCGGUCUCCGUCGCCUCAGCAGUGGUCAAUAGUCAGAGGUUUGAACUGUUGUUUGUUGGCAUCUAAAAGCAGCAAGGAAUGAAUAAACAUUUGCUUAUUCAACGUUAAAAUAAAAAAAAAAGAAGAUAAUUCCAUGUGAGGGUGUAUCUAAUAUUCCGAGGUUUGCCAGAACAUUUGUCAAAAAACAAAACUCUUUUUCUUCACCACAUUCCUUCUCGUUUUCUUCUUCUUCUUCCUCCUCCUGCUGCCAUUUACUCCACCAUAUUCUUUUUUGCACCACCAUUGUGGGCCAUAACGUGUAUCGUUUUACCCGAUUUGAAUAGUUAUAGCAUGGUGACGGACGGUCCUUGCUUCUCCUUGUACGGUGUAUAUAUAUAUAUGGCAAGAAAAAACUAUGCACAUGAUGCUACACUUCACAUGGAAAAAAGCUGUGCUUGCCAAGGCAUCAUAUUUAGAUAGCAAAUUAUUCGGAAGAUGUUCACAUGUAUGAUCAGGUACGUGCGUACUAAUCACCAUCGCGUCAUUCUAUUUUACAGAGUGUCAGAACCGGCUUGGAGAUGAGACCCCGUCAUUCUAUUUUACAGAGUUCGGCAUCUGACCUAAUUAUCUUAAUGAAGUGCUCAAUUGAUCUAGCUCGGAUCCAAUUCAAACCCCAUGAUGCCUUUUGCCAUCCAUGAAUGUAAAAUCGACGACUAAAGAAAAUUCUAAGACUACUGCGCGCAUGAUGGAUGAAGGUUUUGCAUAGGCUGUAAUGACUAUUGCCAUCCAUGAAUUAAUACUUGCAAGUCUGCAAAACCUGAAUGUAGGUGAGAACGAAGAGAAAAUUUUUAUUAUAUAUAUAUAGUUUAACCUAAACAACUCUGCUAAUUAAGAUAGUCACCAAAAAAAAAUGUUCUUUUUUUAAUAUUCUUAGUGGGAAACAAUUGUUGGAAAGAGAGUGAAGGGAAGCAAGAAUCAAACGAUUGGACGGCCAGCAUCUAUACAUAUAUAGAAGCAGUUAAUUAUGUCAAGUAGCUAGUCCACCAAUUUGCUGCACCCUUUGUGACUACACAGUUGGGAAAGCAAGAGCCUGAUCAACUCAACGAAGACAUUAGACAUGCACACAACAGCAGCCAACUACUUGUGUGGCAUCAUAAGAUACGUAUACCGUACGCCUGUCAAUUGGAUAUAUCGUAUGAUGGUUUCUUGAUCUUCAUCCUUUUUAAUUUUAGUUAUCUACUCCAUAUUCUUUUUAACAAAUGAAAAAUAUUCCAACUUAAUUAGCCAUUAGUAUUAUACAUAUGAUGGGACAAGAAGUUCUUUGGCAUCAGAAUUGUUCCCUACACAUUUCUUGUCACACCUACACAUUCAUACAUUGAAUCAAUUUCGACCGUAUAUAUAUGAAGUCGGAUUUUCUCUACGGAAGCCCGCCCGUUAUUUGUUGGAAGAUCACAAGAUAAUACUUGAUCCAAAAAAUCAGAAUUUUCAACAACCGACGCCUAAUUUCAUGAAACGUUUGAUUAAUUUUUCCAAUCAACCGGUCAAUGCGUAGCUUUUCUUUUCUAAAUAUUUUAUGGUCUUUCCGCGUAAACACAACACCGCGUCGUGCAGAGUCGGUAGCAUUCUUUUAAUUUGAUGUCGCCGAUCUAUAGUAAACUUUUAUCUUUUUCUCUUGUAAUUAAGCUACAAACAAUUAUUGUACUAGCACAAGCACAAGCACAAGAUGCAAGAUUCUCAUCAUCUCUACAGAAUAUAUUUCUUAUAUAAACUUUCACCUAAAUUUUGAACCAAUGUAAUUAAGAAUCGUCAUUCAUUCAUUCAUUCCAGCAUAAGAUAUGGAGAGGGCUAUAUAUAGCUUUGGUUGAAAAGUUGCUUUCUACAGGCAAAAGGCCAUGCACCCUUGUGCUAUAAAUUAAUUAAAGAACCCUUUACCCUACCUAUCAUGCUGGUACGUAUAUAUAAUCCAAUCCACAGAACCGACCUUUUUUUUAUUUUAACUCAUCCAUGGUGGUUAGUAUGUGGGGUUUAAUUAUGAAGGUACGUAUAUAUCUAACCCAUUAUUAUGCCUAUGAUCGAUCGAUGCUUAAUUAAAAGAACGUACACACACAAAUUUUCUUUUCAAGCUCGUCAGGAUAGAGGUCAAGACAGACCUCCCUGGUUCGUUGAAUAUAAACAGAUUGAAAUUCCAUGAUUACCUGCGCCUUCAAUAUAUAGUAAUUGCAGUUAGGAUUCCUUUUCUAGAUGACUGUUGGAAUCAUGCAUCCGUCCAUGGCGGUUACUAAACAAUUUGCUGCGAGCAAAAAAAAAAAAAACUUUUCUUAAUUAUCAGUGGAAUUGAAUAAGGGAUGCUUGGAUUCUAGACACUAACUACUUAUUCCUUCCCAUCAUUAACAAACUAAUGGAGGAUCUCUUGCAAGGCAAGUCCUCUUGGUUCAACUUUUUAUGGCUGCUUUGAACUUAUCGGUUCACAAGAGUGAUUGACCACAAGGACUAGGCUUGCUUUAAUUUCUUUCCAGGAGAAGACAACUGCCGUCAAAUUGGGGUAACUAGUUGGGAGUGAUUUCAGAGUUCAUGAUUCUCUUCUAUUGCUACUUCUCAAAAAAUAAUAUAAUAAAAGCUUUUUUGGAGUUCUUAAUUUGGAAUUGUCACAACGAAAAAUGCUUAUAUACUAGGCAUUCGACCCCGCGGCUGUCCGCGGGGUGCCCAUAUUAUGGUGUUAUUGAGUGAUGAAGAAUGUAAAAUAAAGUAGAAGAAAUUAUAAAUAGAGGGUUAUUGUUUUGUUGAAUAGUAUAGUAGUGAUUGUAGAAUAAGCAAAAUACACCAAAAUGGAAAAAGUAAGGAGAUUUUUUAAAUUUGCUAAUAGUUUAUGGAGUCACCUAAGGUAAGUAAAUUCAGAGUUAAUGCAGACUAAAAAGCUGCAACAAAGAAAAAUGAUUCUGUGCGAAGUAGUCAGUUUUUUGGCAAAAAUCAUGGGAACAAAACAGAUAUUCUUAGGUAAUUAAUAGGGAGGAGAAAAUGAUAGAAACAUAACUUCAAUCACAAGGAAAGAAAAUAAGUAACUGUAGAUUGAUUAAGAGUAAACGAGGAAAAGGACAACCAAGAAAUGCAGUAAAGAAAAACAAGGACAUACCUGACUGAAGCCGGCGCGAAGCUGAGAAUUUGAUAACAGGCCGGUGCGAAGCUGAGAAUUUGAAACAGGGAUCAGGAAAAGCCAAUAGAAAAUAAAGAGCUAACAGGAAGGCGCAAGAGAAAAGAGAAACAUCUCUAAAGCAUUAUAAUAGUUGGUAGUCCGUAGAUAAAGAAAACCAAACCAAAGAAACUGACGGUGAAAAGGUUAAUAUAGAUAGAACGCAUAUAGUCUUCAACUAUACAAAGAGUUUGAGGUUUGGCAGAAGGAAACACAUGCAUGCAUUAAAUCUGACUAAUGAUUGCAAGUCCACUAUGACAGUAUGUAAUCUGUGAAAGAACCGAACGAAACAAGCAUAUCUCUAUCUGUAAGUACAUGACAUGAACUGUAACUACAGGUGUAACUUCUAAUAUGUAACCACGUAAGAUAAAUUUUGCGCCACGUAACCUUUAAUCACCAGGGAACAACCACGUAAAUUUUGAUAGCAUGCGGUGGCAUUGUAGAAGAAUUGCUAUAUAUUUUGCUAAAAAUAUCUUAAAACGCAAAAGCUUUAAAUUAAUAAUAUUAGAUACACAAAAAAUUUGUCUCGAAAUAUUUUUUUUUCAGAAAAUCAAUAUUUUUGUUCAGAUAUAUAUUUUGCCGAACAUGCACAUAUAUAAAAAGGCACACAACUAAUUAUCACUUUGUCCUAAACACAUUUAUGUUAUGCUAUUCAAUCUUAAAACGCAAAAGCUUUAAUUUAAUAAUUGAGUAGUUAACAAAUAUUAUCGAAGUAACAUUUUUGAAAUAGAGGAAAAUUAUCCGAUAUUUUUAAAAAUAAUUGAUCGUAUUAAUGGAACCUAAUACAAAGCGGGACAAUUGAUUUAUAUUUAUUAGAUAUGCACAUAUUGGAAUAAGAUGAGAAAAUAGAAUAUGAGCACAACAGCAAAAGGAGACAAUUAACUUGUAACUGGAGCUUGACGGCAAGCUUUAAAUUAAUAAUUAAGUAGUUAAUAUUAAAACACAAAAGCUUUAAAUUAAUAAUAUUAGAUACACACAGAAAUUAUGUCCAUAUAUAUAUUUUGCCGAACAUGCAUAUACAAAUAUUAUCAAUCUUAAACGCAAAAGCUUUAAUUAGCUGUAAUUUAAUAAUUGAGCAGUUAACAAAUAUUAUCGAAGUAACUACUCAAUCUUAAAACGCAAAAGCUUUAAUUUAAUAAUUGAGUAGUUAACAAAUAUUAUCGAUCUUAAAACGCAAAAGCUUUAAUUUAAUAAUUGAGUAUAUUAGUGUAACAUUUUUUGAAUUUUACUUACAAACAUUUACGUUUUUAACAUAAAUUAAAUGAUUCAAAGUAAAAUGUUCAUAAAUAGCUAGUACUUUGUUCAUGUAAUAGAGAAAACCAGUAAAGAGCCGGUAUGCUUUGGGCAAUUUCUUUUUUUACUUUCACAUAUUUAAUUUAUGUUAAAUACAAAACCUAUGAGUUUCCCUUUCAUAAAAAUAUUAGUGUAACACUUUUCCAGUUUUAGCUACAAACAUUUAUGUAUUUUACACAAAUUAAAUAAUUCAAAGUAAAAUGCCCAUAAAUAACUAAUAUUUUGUUCAUGUAAUGCAAAAAACCCAUAAAGACCUGGUAUGUUAUAGGCAAUAUCUUCCAUUUGUUUAUUAAUUAUAUGUACAUGUAUUUUAUAUUGGAACAUGUGUAAAGAUUUGUAAUAUAAGUUUUGCAAUGUAGUAUGGAUUUGUCAUAUUUUGUAUUAUUUUGAAUGAUUAUGGUUUUGAUAUGUUUUUCUAUUGGUAAAGUAAGUAAUUGUUUUGCACUUUUUUAUUUUUUUGGUAUUUUAUUGUUUACAGUAUAUUUAUGUUUUGUCUAAUUGUGAUUUGAUUAUUGGUUCUAAUUAAUUUUAUGCUUGUGAAAGUUGUGAGAGUGGAUUAAUUGAAGGAUUUCUUAGUGUGUAUGAUGGUAUAGUUUGAGGUGUAUUAUUCUAGGUUGUGUUGAUUUUUGUAAUAUUUAGUAUUGAUUAGUAAUGUGUAAAUUGUAUAAAUUUUUUAAUUAUUUGUUGCUGGUACUAUUUAACUUGUGAAGAGUAAUUUGGCAGCCAAGGUUGCUGAUUUUGUUUACGUAUCAUAUAUAUAUAUAUAUAUAGAUAUAUAUAUGUUUGCUAUAUAUGGAUGGAUAUAGUGGUAUUUUUCUUAUGUCCGAAACCCAAACACAGUGGACCAACAUAAGGCGGCAGACCAGAAAAGAUUUCGCAAAAACCGUGAGAGGUCCAAUAAAUCCGGGCAGACAUAUGCAGCAGGCAACGGGCCAACCACUAAAAAUAUUAUUUACAAUAAAAAGACGAAAAAGGCCAAAAUCUGUAGAGAAACAACAACGAAACCAGUGUAAAAGGGUAAAAUUGGAAUAAGGCGACCAAAAUUUAGAACCUGUGGCCGACAAGCAUGAAACAAAGAUGACCCCACAAUGAGUUCCAUCACACCUACAAAGACAAAUGAGGACAAAAUCAAUGCUCAAAUUACAAAAUAACCAGUGGAAAUCACUGUUGCCAACCCUUCGGCGCUUUAUGUAGUUAGAGAUAUAGGUAUGUAUGUAUGUAUGUAUGAGUUUUAGAAUGAUACUGUCUGUAAUUUGGAGAUGUGCUCGGAGCUAGAAGCAAUUUAUAUUUCUGGGCUAACGCAGCUCUUAUUAACAGUAGUUGCCACCAGGACUUUAAAAAAAAAAAACUAGUUUCUUAGAGAGAAGAAUAUGGGACUAAAAAGUCUCUUCCCUUGAAUUGGAGAGAAAUUCUCUCUAUUACACCACAAUAAAAUUAAUUUUUGAAAAUUAGCAACGGCCAUGAUAUAUUUCAUCAUUUUCGUUAGCUAUACACAAAAUGUAGUAAGAAAUUGACUAAAUUUUACCAUCUGAUUGAUCAUUACAAAUUUUCUUACAGUUCAAACCUUUUUUUUUUUAGUAUGUAUGUUGAUCUAGAAAUUUUUUUCUCAAAAAAAAAAAAGAAAAAGUAAAUAGCCGAAGGGGUUUAAUCAGAAAAGGUGAGAUGAACCAUCUAAAUCCGUGCUAGUAAAAAAUAUUCGAAACUGAUACUACUACCAUCUUCCCCUAACACCUACCAAGAUAGUAAUAAUAAGUACCUGCCAACCGGAAAGAUUUGGAAGCAUCCCUUAGCCGUAGCCUUAAUCAACGGUCCAUUAAUAAUAGUGUAGUAAUUGGCACGGGUCCGGGACGCACGAAACAUGAAACAAAUGACUAGCGCCUAGUACUACUUAGUAUAUUUAGAGAACCACAAUCAAAAGGUAUAAUCAUCAUCAUAUUCAUGAAUGACCCAUGAUUGGUUAAGAGUACCGGGGCUGUGGAUCCGAAUCGAACCCGUUGACUCUGUCUGUCUCCUCUCUUCUCUUGCUACGAGUUGCACAUGACCGAUGAUUGCGGGCCAUUUGUUUAUCCCUCAAAAUUUUCAGGUUAUUAUUAUAUUAAACAAAAAUUUUAAAAGCUCAGUGAUGUCAUCCCAUCGUCACUUUAGUUAUAAAUAAUAUGAGUAGUAUAUAUAUAUAUAUAUUUUUUGAAUGUGGGACUGGCGACUCAUCUUUGGAUUUCGGAAUCAAAACGCUGCCUGCUACUAGUGGACAAAGUAUUAUAUAGUAGUAGCAGUAGCAGAGUGAGUACUGUUGCAUAUACUGUAUAAAAGCAGCGAGCGUAGCAAGAUCAAGAAAACCAAAGCAGCAUCCUCCGCAUUGAGGUAGAAGAAGAUCUGGGGUGGGCACAUGAUGAUGAAGGUCAAGGUCAACAGCUUUAAUGUUUGUGGUUGCCUUGACUGGAAUCGAUGGGGGGUGGGGGGCACCGUUUGAUUUGAGAGCUUACCGCGUCAAACACCAGAAGCUGACAAAUGCAGGUCUGGACAAUAUCGGCUUCGUUUUUCGUGCACGUCUCUAUAAACAACACAUUUCGACUCAGAGUUCUCUUCUUGGCUCUUUUACUCAUUCUUUUGCCAGAAUAAAACUCUUCUUUAUCCGCCCAUCUUGUCACCCACAUCCCAAAAUUUUUUUUUUUUUUAAAAAAAAAAUAUAUAUAUAUAUUAAAAAGAAAAAGAAACUGAAGGAGCGUAAUUCUUCAAUUUGACGUAGCUGUUUCAAGUAGUUCUUUGUUCAAGUUCCCCGGGUGCAUGAAUUGCAUUUGUGAUCAUCGUGUUACAACAAUCAAUACUAGAAGAUGACCAGAGAAAAUAGGUCUAUUUGUUUGCGCGUUGCAUGUGGAAAUUUCAUUUAUUUUCUUUUCGCUAGUCCGAUAGCUCAUUAUUAAUGUUGUUUUGGAGCAAGUUUGGUCUGAAAGGGCGAUUGAAAGCAAGAGGAAUAGCUGCUUCUUUUCUCACAGACCAAGUGUACCACUAAAAUAUGGUGGUCACUGAUAAAUAGCGGGUAUCUGGUAAUUUAUCCAAUUGCCCUCCAGAAAAUACAAUUCUGGGAGAGCAUGAUUGAGAAAACUCUGGGUAAAACAUACAACUACGGGAGAGAGAGAGCUAGAUUUUUUAAGUGACUUUGAAACCCCAAAAGGUCUCUCAGAUCAUGGGCGCGCCGGUGGACCUUUCUUGUUUGAGCAAAUUAUUCGGAUGGUAACUAAACGUUUAGAAUCGUUGAAUUUUGAUCACUGCAACUAUUAAAAGCCUGAUUUUGACCCUUGAAUUAUCUAAAGUUUAGAUUUCGUACCAUUCCGUCAAAUUUGAUCGUUAACUAUGUCAGAUCUAAGUAUUUGCACAAUUCACGAAACAAGAGAAAGAGGGACAGUUAAAUCUGACCCGAAAUCUAAACUUUAUAUAGUUUAGUGAUCAAAAUCAAAUUUUUAAUAAUUUAAUAACCAAAAUUUUGAUGACAUCAAAAGUUUAGUGAUCAUCCGGAUAAUUUUGGCUGAACUUGUUUAGUGUAGUAUUUUUAAGAGGAAUUAUUAUUUCAUGGAGAAUCACGUAGUCCAGAGAAUGGCCCAUAACUUUCGAGAGGCAUUAUUGACGUUAACAGUUGGUUUCCUCUGGGUUCAAUUUCAACUGUCAACACGGAGUUUGAAGUCCCACAAAGAUUCCCAGGCAUAAGACACGUCCCCCGAGGUCAAACAUAUCAUCACAUCUCAUCUCAGACUAUAGAUAUAUAUACACACACACAUAUGGGCUACAGGCGCCCUAGGCCCCUCCCCUUUUGUAUGAUUCUGAGUGCUUAAAAGAGUUGAGCCAAGCCAACCCUGAACUUUUGUUUCCGCUUCCCCACCAGGUGUGAAUGCUCAGCUCAUUCUGCUUUGGAUACUCGGGCCAAUUUCAACUAAAACUCGUCUGCAAGAAUACAAUAAUGAAGCAAGAACUUGGUCCCAGCCCUUGUUAGCAUGCAAAUACGACACAACUAGAAGCAUUGGCUUGGUCAGAAGCACGUCAUAUUAGGUCAAAAUCCUUUUAGACAACAAAAAAACUAGGCUUUUUUUUUUUUUGGGUGGAACAAGUUAAAAGGAAGCAAAUAAAUAUAUGCAAGGAUUAAAAGGAACACACAUGAACGAUCUGUCUGACCGCUUUCGAGGCAAAGAAAACUUGAAGGAAAAAAAAAAUGCUAUGUUGACUUUUUAUGCUGAACAGGUCCUGCCCGCAUCGCAGAAGCGGAUGUGACCCAAAGGAAUCUUCAGAAAUGUUUCAAAAGGUCAAUCAUUAAAUAUAGCAACUUAUGGUACACUGCCACGCCUUGAAGAAACCGAAAUUGAAAGGAAGGGCUUUUUCUGAACUUUAACAGUCUUGUAUCGGUGAAUCUUUCAUUGACAAACAGGACGAAUCAAUGCUGAAAACUAUACUAUAUGCUCAGAUUGUAGAUGGCAUUGAGAGCCGUGAGUUUCUCCAUGAGAAAAUGGAGCGACAGCCAAGUUUAAUGAAGCAUGCAUGCACCAAGGUCCGCACUUUGGUAUCACGAUCAUGUUCUCUGGGCUACUUUAUGGAUAGGUAAAAGGGCAAAUACAAAAUGGACCGAUAAAACUAAACCAAUUUUGACAACACUACAGUACCAUCCACGAUGAUGUAAACAGCGCCUAAGACUCGAGACUGGCAUCAUCUGAGUCCUCAAAAAUCUUACCCCAAAAAAAAAAAAAAAGGCUGCUUCUAACUACUCCUUCCUAGGACCUAGUCGGAAUUAGCUUAAGAUCAAAGAUUCAAUUCCAAACCGGAUGUCUCCUGAGCCAAAUGUGUUUAAAAUUAGAGAUGGAUCCUCUUAAGGUAAAAUCCAGUGCCAGCUGGGGCAGGGGUACUUUUCAGAGACCGUCAAACAAGAUGGAUUUCUGCUUUGGCUAAAAGCUGGGACAUCCUACCAACGUCCUUGCCGAAUUAUGGAGGAUACAAGAUGGAUUGACACCGUCCAAAUCUCUCAACAUACAAUAUGUAGAAGUACAAAUAGAUGCUACUGCUGCAAUUGUAUUUGAUUAAAUAAGCAGACUCUUCCGCUCGUGAAUUUGUAUCAAUCGUCUCUGAUUUUAGGUACCUGAUCUGUCACUGCAGAAAGCAAGACUUGCACAUGUUUAUUGACAAGCCAAUAGGUGUGCAGAUUGGCUUGCCAAGUUUGGAGCAGAUCAGACUGAACCUUUCUCUUAUUUGAGGCAAUGUCUCCUGCGAUGUCUAGUUUAAUUUUGGAUGACAUCAAAUGGAUAUGUUUCCCUCAUUUUGUAACUAACUCUUAAUCAAUAUCUGCAUCUUUUUUACCCCAAAAAAAAAAAAAAAGCUAAUGGACUGCUCUUAAUCGAAAACUUCAAGCCAGGGGAGAAGGGCAUCCCAUGUAGGGCCAAAGUCAUUUAAUCCAACAACAAAAACAAGCACUGCUAACUUUAUCGAGCCAUCAAGCAGUUCAAGAAAACAAAAAGCAUCAAAGAAGCAGAUAUUUCUACCCAAUAUUACAGCUCUAAACUCACACUUCAAAGCUGAUGCAGUCUAAUUUUCUCACAACACGUCUCUUGAUCGCAAACAAGAUUCAGAAUCAGGAAUUUAAAGGAU